This 254-nucleotide ribosomal RNA is filed under the name uncultured bacterium. RNAcentral describes it as "partial 16S ribosomal RNA". It matches the Rfam family "Bacterial small subunit ribosomal RNA", at positions 524 to 776 of the family's 1533-position model. The record is from RNAcentral.
CACGUAGGGGGCAAGCGUUGUCCGGAUUUAUUGGGCGUAAAGAGCUCGUAGGCUGUUCGAUAAGUCGGGUGUGAAACCUCCAGGCUCAACCUGGAGACGCCACCCGAUACUGUCAUGACUAGAGUCCGGUAGGGGAGCGUGGAAUUCCUGGUGUAGCGGUGAAAUGCGCAGAUAUCAGGAGGAACACCGAUUGCGAAGGCAGCUCGCUGGGACGUAACUGACGCUGAGACGCGAAAGCGUGGGGAGCAAACAGG